Molecule: long non-coding RNA, 279 nt
Organism: Homo sapiens (human)
Lineage: Eukaryota; Metazoa; Chordata; Mammalia; Primates; Hominidae
Gene: DNAH8-DT
Product: DNAH8 divergent transcript
Exons: 2
Source: RefSeq, marked validated
AGCCCCCGCGCUCCCCAAUAAAGGAUGCACCCACCGAGCCCGAGGACUGAAACAUUGUUUAGGGGACCCCAGGCACUGAAGGGCGGGUUCCUGGAGAUGGACAUUUGGAGUGCGGUGCCAGGGGCUUGGGAGGAUUCCCGCGUAUACGUGGUGUGAAAGUCAGUCUUUGAAUGUAGAGCAGAUCAAUGUGGAAUGAGGACUGAAAGGUCUGUCAACUGAAAAAAAAAACAAGAAUGAAUAUAAAAAAUCACAAAUUAAAUAAACCAUGGUCCAUCCAUA